CCUGCAUACUUGAGGCCUUCUAAGGUGCCUGUUAACAGAAGUUGUUCAGAGAAUCUAAUCUUUAUUGUAAUUGAAUCUGCUGUAAAAUUCAAUUUCGGAGGAUGAGCUAUGGAUCACUGUGCAUGGAACAUAAAGAAGAGCAAUCUUUACUACCCCACCUCCUUACCAUUUUAUAAG
Molecule: long non-coding RNA, 177 nt
Organism: Lagopus muta (rock ptarmigan)
Lineage: Eukaryota; Metazoa; Chordata; Aves; Galliformes; Phasianidae
Exons: 3
Source: RefSeq, a predicted model, not a curated record